This 253-nucleotide ribosomal RNA is filed under the name uncultured bacterium. Its description in RNAcentral is "partial 16S ribosomal RNA". It matches the Rfam family "Bacterial small subunit ribosomal RNA", at positions 524 to 776 of the family's 1533-position model. The record is from RNAcentral.
GACGAGGGAUCCUAGCGUUGUUCGGAAUUAUUGGGCGUAAAGCGGGUGUAGGCGGAUCUAUAAGUCAGGUGUGAAAUCCCAGGGCUCAACCCUGGAAGUGCACUUGAUACUGUAGAUCUUGAAUGUGGUAGAGGUUACUGGAAUUGUUGGUGUAGUGGUGAAAUACGUAGAUAUCAACAGGAAUACCGGAGGCGAAGGCGAGUAACUGGGCCAACAUUGACGCUGAGAUCCGAAAGUGUGGGGAUCAAACAGG